AAGAACACGAUCCCCAUCCUCAAAUUACUUCCAGUCUUAUGGGGCAGACAAGACACACCCUGGCAAUUAAAGCGUGUAUAUGUAUCCAUUUACAAAACACUAGAGACUUCAUGGCCAAGGGUACCAGUUAUAAUGUGGCUUACUUGUAUGUAUAUCGAAACCCAAAAGAACACUGGCUUCCAUAGCAGAGAAAUUCAUUUUUUGUUCUUGUGAAAGAAUUUGUGUAGUCAUUGGAAGCCCCUCAAAAAGUUCAACUAGGACCCAGCAGCUCCACUCCAAAGUAUAUACCCAAGAGAACUGAAAACGCACUUCCAUACAAGGGCUCUUAGUACAUAUAAUAGCCACAAAGUGGUAACAACCCAAAUGCUCUCCAUCUGCUUGCUGAAUGGAUACAAGUGUGGUAUAAUCCACACACUGGACUAUUAUCCAACCAUAAAAAGGAAUGAAGUACUGAUACAUGCCACAAUGUGGAUGAAUCUGGGAAACAUGACGCCAAGUGAAAGAAGACAGACGCAAAAGGCCACCUAUUGUAUGAUUCCAUUCACGUGAAAUGUCCAGAACAGGUGAAUCCGUAGAGACAGAAAACAGAUUAGUCAUCGCUAGGGGCUGGGGAGCAGGGAGGGAAGAAUGGAAGUGACCGUCAAUAAGCACAGGGUUUCUUCUGGGGGUGAUGUUCUGGAAUGAGUGGUGAUGAUUGAAGAGCUUUGUACAUAUGCUAAAAACCCUAACAGCCAUUGAAUUUACACUUUUAAGUGAGUGUAUCAUUUUAUAUGUGAAUUAUACCUCAAUAACGUUACUAAAAGCGUGCUAGGAGGGUCAAAGAGGCAAAAAUCGGUGAUGAAUAAUCAGAGGACACAGACAAGAGAUUGAAAAAGUACCUCCUGGUGGUGGUUUGCUCUCCUCCCCCAGUUCCUUCUCCAGGUCUCAGAGUGGUUGCCUCAUGCUCCCAUGUAUUAGAUCUUCUUCCUCUUCUCCUCCCCUACUACAAAUAGCAGAAAGUCCACUACAUGAGGCUGACCUGGCCCCAGCCAGGGAGAGAGAUGGCAUUUCUGGUCCCUAUGGAGAGAAUGUGCUGAUGGACACAGAAUGGGAUAGGGUUCACGCCCCUGAUCCUGAUGGUGUCCCCACAUGGGAGAGACUUCCUGUUCAAGGGAAUAAAUGUCCUUGAGAGUCCUUGGCCCUGAUGGUGCAGGGGAGGAGCUCUGUGAGCCUGAUACGUCCCUGUGGCCCACCAUGCAAUUUACCCAUCUGUUUAGAGGGUGAUGACUCUUAGGGCUGCCGGUGUCCCUAAUCUCCAUGGGGGAUGUGCUCUAGCGGUGUCUGUCCCCACGCCCCAGGCUGGCUCUGCUUUGAGCGCUCAGGCUAUUUCGUCCCUACAGUCCCCAGUGAUAGAGCACUUCCUCAUUAACACACAUUCUAGGAUCUCCUUCACAGCCCUGUGGCUUUAUUUUUUUUCCCCUUUUUAUUUAUUUAUUUAUUAUUUUAAAAAUUAACAUAUAAUAUAUUAAUUGCCUCAGGGGUACAGGUCUGUGAAUCAUCAGGCUUACACAUUUCACAGCACUCACCAUAGCACAUACCAUCCCAGUGUCCAUAAACCAGCCACCAUAUCCCUUCCCCUCUACCCCCCAGCAACUCUGCUUGUUUCAUGAGAUUAAGAGUCUCUUAUGGUUUUUCUCUCUCCCGAUCCCAUCUUGUUUACUUUUUUCUUCCUACCCCCCAACACCCCCCCACCUCUCAAAUUCCGUAUAUCAGAGAGAUCAUAUGAUAACUGUGUUUCUCUGAUUGACUCAUUUUGCUCAGCAUGGUACCCUCUAGUUCCAUCCGUGUCAUUGCAAAUGGCAAGAUUUCAUUUCUUUUGAUGGCUGCAUAGUAUCCUCUUCUUUAUCCAUUCAUCUGUUGAUGAACAUCUAGUUUGGCUAUUGUGGACAUUGAUGCUGUAAACAUCAGGGUGCACAUGCCUCUUCGGAUCACUACAUUUGUAUCUUCAGGGUAAAUACCCAGUAGUGCAAUUGCUCGGUUGUAGGGUAGCUUUAUUUUCAACUUUUUGAGGAACCUCCAUACUGUUUUCCAGAGUGGCUGCACCAGCUUGCAUUCCCACCAAAAGUAUAAGAGGGUUUCCCUUUCUCUGCAUCCUCCCAAUAUCUGUUGUUUCCUGACUUAUUAAUUUUAGCUUUCUGACUGGUGUGAGGUAGUAUCUCACUGUGGUCUCAAUUUGUAUUUUCCUGAUGCCAAGUGAUGUGGAGCACUUUUUCAUGUGUCUGUUGGCCAUCUGGAUGUCUUCUUUGAAGAAAUGUCUGUUCAUGUCCUCUGCCCAUUUCUUGAUUGGAUUAUUUGUUCUUUGGGUGUUGAGUUUGAUAAGUUCUUUAUAGAUUUUGCAUACUAGCCCUUUAUCUUAUGUGUCAUUUGCAAAUAUCUUUUCCCAUAAUGUCAGUUGUCUUGGUUUUGUUGACCGUUUCCUUUGCUGUGCAAAAGCUUUUGAUCUUGAUGAAGUCCCAGUAGUUCAUUUUUGCCCUUGCUUCCCUUGACUUUGGUGAUGUUUCUAGGAAGAAGUUGCUAUGGCUGAGGUUGAAGAGGUUGCUCCCUGUGUUCUCAAGGAUUUGGAUGGAUUCCUGUCUCACAUUGAUGUCCUUCAUCCAUUUUGAGUCUAUUUUUGCGUGUGGUAUAAGGAAAUGGUCCGGUUUCAUUCUUCUGCAUGUGGCUGUCCAAUUUUCCCAACACCAUUUAUUGAAGAGACUGUCUUUUUUCCAUUGGACAUUCUUUCCUGCUUUGUCAAAGAUGAGUUGACCAUAGAGUUGAGGUUCUAUUUCUGGACUCUCCAUUCUGUUCCAUUGAUCUGUGUGUCUGUUUUUGUGCCAGUACCAUAUUGUCUUGAUGAUGACAGCUUUGUAAUAGAGCUUGAAGUCUGGAAUUGUGAUGCUGCCAACUUUGGCUUUCUUUUUCAAUGUUCCUCUGGCUAUUUGGUGUCUUUUCUGGUUCUGUAUAAAUUGUAGGAUUAUUUGUUCCAUUUCUUUGAAAAAAAAUUGAUGGUAUUUUGAUAGGGAUCGCAUUAAAUGUGUAGAUUGCUUUAGGUAGCAUAUACAUUUUCACAAUACUUGUUCUUCCAAUCCAUGAGCAUGGAACACUUUUCCAUUUCUUUGUGUCUUCCUCAAUUUCUUUCAUGAGUACAUUAUAGUUUUCUGAGUACAAAUUCUGCAAGGUUGGUUCAAUCAAUCAAUCAAUCAAUGCAAAAUCAAUCAAUGUGAUACAAUACAUUAAUAAAAGAAAGAAUAAGAAUCAUAUGAUAGUCUCAAUAGAUGCUGAAAAAGCAUUUGACAAAGUAUAGCAUCCUUUCUUGAUCAAAACUCCUUGAAGUGUAGGGAUAGAGAGUGCAUACCUCAAUAUCAUCAGACCCAUCUAUGAAAAACCCACAGUGAAUAUCAUACUCAGUGGAUAAAAGUGUGGCUUUAUUCUUGAUCUGUUUCCUAUUCCUCCUCUUGUACCAUACAAACCAAAUACUAUUCCUUCUUCCUCCUUCCCCUCCUCCCUCCCUCCCUUCCUUCCUGUCUCACUCUUUUUUUUUUUUUGUAGUUGUCACACAAAAACCAGUUUAUUUGUAGCAAAAAAGGAGGUCACAGGGGAUAACUUCCAAAGCCCUGACUCUUCAAGUACUGUUUCUGAUGUCACUGUAAGAGUUCUUUCACUUGUUCUAAUAGGCCUUUGUCAACAGUGCAGAUUGGAUUAGGCUUCAUGCAUUACCUUGAGUGACUCAUGUCUGCCCCAAGUGACCUUUCUCCCCAUAUGCACGGAUUCCAGGAGUCCAGAUAGUGUGGAGAUGCAUGGAGAUGGAGUCUGAGUUGGAGGAACUGUCAUAAAAGGUGGAGUCCCAGCUCUUAUAGCCGAAGUGCAAGGAGACAUGAUGACUAAAUGUAACAUGGUUUCCAGGAUGGAAUCCUGGGGAAAAGGACAUUAGGUAAAAACUAAGAAAAUAUGAAUAAAGUAUGGACUUUGGUUAAUAACAGUGUAUCGAUAUUGCUUUAUUAAUAGAGAUGAAUGUGCCUAUGAAUGUAAGACAUUCAUCAAAGGGAAAACUGGGUUUGAGGUAGGUGGGAACUCUCUAUAUUAUCUUUGAAGAUUUUCUGUAAGUCUAAAAUUAUUCCAAAAUUAAGACUUCAUUAAAUCACCCCCAAAUCUAGUGUCCCCAUUCCCAUCAGAAUAUUUAACUCUAGAUUGGCCAGACCAUCUUAAAGGAAGAGUGUCAUCCCAUAUGCCUUCUUUAUUUUUUCUUUAUUUUUUUAAAAGAUUUUAAAUUAUUUUUAAGUCAUCUCUACACCCAGCAUGGGACUCAGACUCACAACCCUGAGAUCAAGAGACACAUACUCUACUGACUUAGCUGGCUAGGUGCCCCCCAUAUGCCUUCUUUAAAGGGUAGUUAUCAAUACCACCUGAAUCAUUAGUGUGGCCUGAAGAAGAUCCAUUUACCUGUAUCAAAGACAGGGUGUUGAAGUCCUGGAUGUGUGCCAGGAAGAAGAGCCCACUGGUGCCCAGGUGCACGUUCUGCUCCCAGGGUGCGUGAAGCCUUGAAGGACAAUGAGUGACUGUGGGAAUCCUGGGCCGUGUCUGAGUGGCUCUCAGGAAAGGACUGACCCAUGAGGACAUAUUUCAGGGAGUUAAGGCAAGUUUUGAAUCCCUGGAAGAGCCAAAGUUCAGGAGCUGACAGUGUAGUCAGGUUUCGUGCCAAACUUGUGAGUUUAGUCUGAGAAUGAGCAAAGGUUGCAGGCAUGUAAGCCAUGUAACUGGGUCAUUCGCAGGAGGGGUCAGUCCUCUAGGUUACAAGGUCUCUAGUUGGGUGCCCUGUAGGAUAUCAUACUUCUCAUGACAAACUGUUAAAUAGAUAGCCUGGCCAACAGGAUGCCUCUGUCCUCCCCUCUGGGGGACACUGCUGAGGAAGACGAGAUAUUGGAGAGCUGGAGGGAGGGGAGAGAAAUGCCUCGGCAGUCUGUCCCACUCCUGAAGCAGUGACUGUUUUUCCUAGGGCAGGGCUUACAUAUUCAGUAGAAUGGGUUCAAGAGUCCCCCUCAGACUCACAUCUAUCUGGAACCUCAGUAUGUGUCUUUCGUUGGAAACAGGAUCUUUGCAGAUAGAAUUCUUUAAGAUGAGGUCAUAAUGGAUUCAAGUGGGCCCUAAUCCAAUGCCUUUUGUCCUUAUAAGAAGAGGAGACACACAGACAAGGAGGAAGGCCACGUGGAGUUGGAGGCGGAACACAGAGUGAUGCAGCUGGAAGCCAGGGAAGGCCAAGGAUUGCCAGGAGCCACCAGAAGGCAGGAAGAGGGACUGUGGCCCUGCUGACCCCUUGAUUUGGGAUUUGUAGCCUCCAGAACCGAAAGAGAAUACAUUUCUGUUGUUUCAGGCAACCUAGCUUGUGGUUCUCUCUUAUGGCGGCCUGAGAAAACCAAGUCAUCUGACAGGGCUGACGCUGGGACGGUGUACAGUACCAGCUGCCCUUGGCAGCCCGAAGCUUGGUGCUUCCUGGUCCCUGGCAGAUCGGAAACCUGGGGCUGGAGCCUCAUAACUGUGAGCCCCAACAUAGUCCAAAAUUAAAGAGUAAUUAGCACAGGUGAUAACACGGGUUAUCCCUACCUUCUACUCCCCACAGUGAAGUCUUGCCCAUGUGGGAUCUCCUUGUGAACACUUUGUCCCAUUAUCUGAAGGAACUAAAAGGUAUACAUUCCUCCUGCAAAGUUUCCAGUGGUUCCAUGAGAUGUGCUCACGUUUUCUUCUCUAGGGGUUACCUGUCCCACGCCUUCAAGCAGAAAUCCCUCUCUUUUCUGAUCCUUGAUCUGCCUGCUCACUGUGGCCUCUUGACCACACGAUGGUCAUGGUGUGGCCAUAGUCUCGAACGGUAUGAACAUCCCUUCCCAAACCUUCCCUCCUAGGGAGCAAAACCUCUUUCUUCUUUAUCUUCUGACUUCCUCCUUUCUGAUCUCUGUGACUUAAUUGCCUCCCCCACUUGCUAGAAACUGUUGCUGUUUGCUUGAGUUCUGUAUUUGAUCUUCUGUCAUCACUCUGCAACUCUCUUGGGGAACCAUCCAGGGCCCUAGCUCUAAUUGCCACCACCAUGUGACCUCCUAGAGCUGUGUUCCAGUUCAGGACCCUUCCUUGAGCUCCAGCUUCAUAUGGCCCAUGCAGGGUUUCCACCUGGCCUACUAGCCCCUUGUGACUCAGGGUGUUCAAAGCACUGGAUUGAUGGGUCUCUCUUCCCUCUGCUAGAACCACAGACCUGCCCUCUUCUGAAAAGAAGAAUUCAUAAAGAGUUUCCAUUGAAGAUUUGAAAGAUAGAUAUUGAACAGUUUUGAAGGAAAUAAAACACACACACACAGAGAAUCACAUUUGGUGUGAGUGUAGGAAUCACCCAAUCAAUAGACUGUCAAAGCUUGUCUGUACUAACUUCUAUUAUGAUGCAAGGGGAUCUCAGGACACAAUUACACAUUAAAGGAAAACAUAGGCCAACAUCUAAUGCGUUUAAUAGCUCCUUCCAGCCACCUGAGUGGCUUUCCGGAUCUUACCCCUGAUGUAGAGGCUACUCUUCUUGGUCACCUUGUGUUGCCCUCAGGCCAGCCUGAGCCCUUCGAAGUCCCUUAAGUGGAUGCAAAAGUACUUUUUCCCUGUCUUCAUCCUCCUCUGUGCAGGUACAUUCUGCCCUUCUCCUCUGCAGUGAUGUCUUUCUGGCCUUGCUCUUGGUAAACUCCAGCAGGCUGAUGAGACUAGAACCUCCCAUGUGAGUCAUGGUCCUGAGCUUUGAGGCUGUCUCACUUCUGUCUGUACUUCCUGGCUGCUCUCCCUUGCUGCUCACGUUAGCUGCCUUAGGUCAGCGUCCAGGCCAGCAAACACCUCUGUGAAAUCACAGGCAAGAUCAAAAGUCUGCAGUGGUCCAAUGGCCAUUAAAACACACACACACACACACACACACACACCCCAAAACCUUAAAGUGUCUCUGGAUCCAAAGCGGGCUGGAGAGUUGAGAGAUGGGAUGAGAACGCAUGUAAUAAAGUUUAUUUCCAAAUGUGGCAUUAAGCUAUCGAAUUCCAUCACUAAUGAUGUUAAAAUCCUGGCUCUGAAGCCCAGGAAUGUGCAGGUGAGGAUGCUUGGGUGGGUGACACUGGCCAUUUCCCUUGGUGUAUUCGUGCACAGUUUGUUUUUGAGACAUCCAGUAAUAAUUAGAAGUGUGCCCCCAAGCAUCUCUGGGCUCAGCGCUGGCACUCAUGUCCUAAUUAGGUGGGUUUUGACUCAUCACUAUUUACUUGCCCAUUUUUCCUUAACGCAGUUCUUGCCUUGUUUUAUGCAAUUAGAAGGAGGAAGCUCACAAAAGUCAUCACACUGCAGAAGAGAGAUGACAGAAAAGAUCAUUAAUUCUAUCUUCUGUACAAAUCCCAGUAGUAAUUAGGGACCUACGUAAACAGCACCGCUUAAAUGAUUUAGUUGACAAUCGCUAAUAACAACUCCAGCUGUGCGGUGGUGCACUUCAUAAAAGCAAAAGUGAUUAGUUUGCUAUAUAAUCCAAUUAUCGGAAAAAUGUAAUUCCCAUAGCAACAUCUGUUAUUAUUGCCUUGUAAAAGGGCAGGCAGAAUAUUGACACAUCAAAUUGUCCCUCAGCCUGAAGAACAAAGUAAGUGCUUCCUCCACUAGAGGGCUGGUGUCCACACUGUCUCAGGGAGUUCUCCCCUGGGCAGCAGGCAGUGUGGACAGCGUGGGGCAGAACCCACUUCUCAGCAAUUUCUAACUUUUUCAUUACCUGGGUGAAUUCAAGAAAAAAUGCUACCGAAGUUAAAUCUUGGGGGAGAAGAGUGGUUCCGGAAAGAUGAGUGAAGUUCACAUGAGGUUGGGCCGGGGAGGGGAUUUCUAAACUUAGAACCAACAAGCAGUUCAACUUCAAUAUGUAUCGUGCUCCUUGGAUGUGUGAGGACAUGGCCAGAUGCUAAUUACAAAGGCAGUGAGACACAGCUUCUGGUGUCGAGGAGGUUCCUUCUAGCCGUGGGCCAUUAGGAACUGAUGUUUCCAGUUCUCCUGGCACUUGCUCACCUGCUAGAAUUUGGGCAUGGUCACGUCCCUUACUUUGACCUAUCGGAACUCUCGAGUAUUCCUCCACUUCCCUAUCUCCCUCCCAGGAAGUAGCCAGUGAGUUUUCUUUUCCAUCUAGCCCAUCCUAUCACAGAAAGUCAGACUUCCUGCCACAGCUGCAGGUGGACCAUCAGUACGAGGACAGAUACAAAGGCACAGUGGUCAGCAUGUCAUGGGCCUUGGUGAAGGGUAAAAGGUUUCUCCCUUUAAAAUCUCAUGAAAAAGGAGAAAUCUUAUUCCUCAAAAGAAAGCUGAAUUUAUGUGUAUUUUUACUGCAGCAAUGUCUAGCAAUGUUUCCAUGGGAGGUCUCUUCCUUUGGGGUUUGGAUAAUGGCCUGCAUGAUUUUACAGUUACUAUGUGUGAUAGAGUCUGAUAAUUGUCUCCUAAUUAUUCCCCUCUUCUCCCUUAGUGAUAGCAUCUCAAUAUCUAAAUGGGAACAUUGUACCUCAAGCUCAAAGAUAUUUGCUAAGGCCCCUGCAGCUAUGGAAGACCACGUGACUGCUGUGAUUACCACUAGAGGAGCCCCUGAAAUAAAGGGUUGUUUGGGAUUGCUGUGAAGGUUCUUUUUUUUUUUUUUUUUUUUUUUUUUUAAAGAUUUUAUUUAUUUAUUUGACAGGCAGAGAUUACAAGUAGGCUGAGAGGCAGGCAGAGAGAGAGGAGGAAGCAGGCUCUCUGCUGAGCAGAGAGCACGAUGCGGGGCUCGAUCCCAGAACCCUGGGAUCAUGACCUGAGCUGAAGGCAGAGGCUUUAACCCACUGAGCCACCCAGGCGCCCCUGUGAAGGUUCUUUUUAAGGGAGGAAGUACCCCUGCCUUUUCUUUUGCUCCAUUCUGCUGCCUGGGAUGGAUAUGCAAUGGUUGAAGCUGUAGCAGCCCUCUUAGACCAUGAGGAGGAGGAGGGCCCCACAUGAGGGACGGUGGAGAGUGAGCUGGCACAUACCUUGUGUCCUCGAUCACUUUGCGGAGUUCUAGCCACACGGUAUUCUUACUCACCACAGAUGCUUCCAGCACCACCAGACCUGGGGAGUGAUAAGGUGGCAGAGCAGCUUGCCCCUCCACUGGGACUCCUGCAUCCUCAAUCCAAUCCCAGGAGAAAGGUCUUUUCAUAAAGAAUGUCGUGGAAGGAAGAACCUGACAGUUGCCAUUUUGCCUCAGUCAAAGACCUACCCCACAGGGCAUUAAUUUCCUCACACUUCCCAGUUGCAUGUAUGUUGGAGAUACACACACACACACACACACACACACACACAAGCAGGUCCCCCUCAAUAGGGAGACCCUCUGGAAAAACCUGGAGGUGGAUAUGAGAGAUGUAGGGUGUGGGUACAAAAGUAGACACUGUUAGGUUGUGGCAGCUGGGUCCUGAACAAGUGACCAAAAUCCUUGGAUUCAGUUGAGACCAAAAGCACCAUAGUAGCACCAAAGAAGUGUUUGAUCGAUUUAUUUAUUUUUUAAUAUUUAUUUAUUUAUUUAUUUAUUUAUCAGGAGAAAGAGCACAAGCAUGGGGAGAGGCAGGGGGAGAGGAAGAAGCAGACUCCCCAGUGAGCAAGGAGCCUGAUGUGGGGCUUGAUCCCAGGACUUGGGAUCAUGACCUGAGCUGAAGACAGAUGCCUAACUGCUGAAGCACCCAGGUGUCUCAAAGUAUUUGAUUUAUUGGGUGCCUGGGCGGCUCAGUUGGUUAAGUGACUACCUUCAGCUCAGGUCAUGAUCCUGAAGUCCCAGGAUCGAGUCCUGAAUCAGGAUCCCUGCUCAGCAGGGUAUCUGCUUCUCCCCCUGACUCUCUCUCCCUCUCUUUCAUUCUGUCAAAUAAAUAAAUCUUAAAAAAAAAAAAAGUAUUUGAUUUAUUAACCAACUACAAAUCCUAAAUGAACUGGGUUGAAGGUCCUCUGUUCCAUUUAUCUUUUAUGUAUUAUCAUUUAAUAAUCAGAGUUAUUGACCAUGAUUGUCAUCGACCCUAUCCCAGUGACCUUUCCCUGCAGCUCCUAACUCAUGGGUCCGACUGCCCACUCGAUCUCACCACAUACACAUUUAAUAGGGUGUUUCAAAUUUUAUGUUGCCAUACCAGAACUCUUAAUUCCUCCCACACCACCAGACUUGCUUCUUUCUCAAUGAGUUGCUAAAUUCUCACAUCUAGAAGUUAUACCUCUCUCUUUUCCUGGGGGUCCUCUCCCUUGACUCAUCCCCAUUUGCUCCAGUAACAAGCCUCCCAAGACACGUUUUGCAUACACUCAGUUCUCCACGAGUUCCCACAGAAGCCACUUCUACCUUUGCUUGUAUUCUUGAAAUAACCUCCCUUCUACAUGUGCUCCACCUAGAGUCCGUUCUUCCCAGAGCAGGAGUACUUUCUAAAAAGAGAACACACAGCCUGUCACCAUCAUGCUUAAAACUCCCUGAUACACUUCCUCCUGCAAUUAGCAUAAAAUCCAAUCACUUAAGCAGUCUGGGUUGUGCCUAUCUCUCUGACUUCCUCUCAAGCCACUUGCUUCCUCCACCAGGGCAUUCUAGCCACGCUGGCUUGCUCUCUGUCCCGAGCUCUUCCCUCUGCCCGGAGUGUGCUCCUCCCUGAGCUGUGCAUGGCUACUUUUUUCCUGAAGAGUCCACAGAUGCUGGGUAGCCCACCUGCUUCCUGUCCCACCACUCUACAGUAAUCCUAUUUUUGUUUACUAUCUCUUCCUGGCCCCUCUCAUUAGAGGGUGAGCUCCAUGAGAGCAGAGAACUUACUGUUUUUCACUCUUAUAUUUACCGAACUGAAUCUAGAAUAGUGCUUGGUGCAACAUGAGCGCUCAAUAAAUAUUUCUUGAAUGAAUGGUUAGAUACUGAUACGUGUAAUAAAAUUAGAUACAUGUAAUAAAAUUCAUGACUAAACCACGAGUUUCCCUUCAUAAAUAUAAAAUGUUUAUGAGGUAUAUUUGUCAAAUAAUUUUUUUUUAAAUGGCAUCCUGUUUUUCAUUUGACUGAACAAAACAUAGAAACUGUUUCUAGAAGACGAACAGCUUGGGCUCCACAGCCAGAUAGGUCAAGUAGGCUUCCUUAAGGAGGAUUCAGACUGGGCAUCAGUUUUUGCAUCCAAUGGCUAGAACCUUUGUGGCUAAUUUCAAAUGGACCUGGUUGAAGUUAAUUCUUAGGCAGAACCUUGGGAGAACCAGAAUCUCUAGCAGGUGAGGAGGAGAGCUUUCAAGUUCACCCUGGGCCAGUGAAGCUGUUCUGUUACAUACAUGAGAGCCAUUCUGUUACAAGCAUACAUGUUGCAUAACAUGAGAAACUCAUUUUAGACUCAUUAUAUUACUGUCGGCUGCGUUCCCUAGAGGAAUGCUCUCAUCCUUCUUUGAUGUUAUUUCUGGGGUGGCUCUUGGAAAUCAUCUAGUUUAGCCUUGUUUUAUGGAUGAGGAGAGUAAAAUCUGGAGGGAGAAAGCAACUAAGCCAAGGUCAUUCUGUUAGUCAGAGGCAGAGUCAGGACCAGAAUUCGGAUCUCCUAACAGAACCUCGAGGCCUUUACAAUAUAUCACCUCACCUGUUCCUUUAGUGUCCUGCUCUUAAAAAAAAAAAAAAAAAAAGCCACAAGGGGUUUGCCUUAAAAAACAUUCUUGUGAGUCCUGAUGGGACCACGUUGGGUGUCUGAAUGUUGGCAGUGGUGAUAAUUAGUAAGGCACUGAUUUUCCUUUCUCAUUUUGCUUGAAUGUUCUUGACUGGUCAUCAAACAGGUAUUUCCCAUCAAGGGAAGUAAUUGUGUUUUCAGUUAGGACUUCAGUGAGACCUAUAUAAGGGGGUGCCUGGGUGGCUCAGUGGGCUAAAGCUUGUGCCUUUGGCUCAGGACAUGAUCUCAGGGUCCUGGGAUAGAGCCAAUGGGUUAAAGCCUGUCUCUGCCUUUGGCUCAGGUCAUGGUCCCAGGAUCCUGGGAUCAAGCCCUGCAUCAGGCUCUCUGCUCGGCAGGGAGCCUGCUUCCUCCUCUCUCCCUGCCUACCUCUCUGCCUACUUGUGAUCUCUGUCUGUCAAAUAAAUAAAUAAAAUCUUAAAAAAAAAAAAAAAA
Long non-coding RNA from Mustela lutreola (European mink), 12116 nucleotides. RefSeq lists it as uncharacterized. The transcript has 3 exons. Lineage: Eukaryota; Metazoa; Chordata; Mammalia; Carnivora; Mustelidae. The record is from RefSeq and is a predicted model, not a curated record.